This is a long non-coding RNA of Bactrocera tryoni, 554 nucleotides long. RefSeq lists it as uncharacterized. The transcript has 3 exons. The record is from RefSeq and is a predicted model, not a curated record. Lineage: Eukaryota; Metazoa; Arthropoda; Insecta; Diptera; Tephritidae.
CCUUGCGUACAACAAAAGAGCAAAUUGAAUGCUACUUAGCAUUUCUAGAGCUUCACCCUGAAAUGAAGCUCCACAAGAACGAUCCCACGCGACCCAAAAGGUUAGAAGAGCUGUGGAUCGAACUUGCUCAACAGCUAAACGCUCUAAAGGGUCCAUCACGUUCGCCUACCAAAUGGAAGGAGUGUUUAAACCACUGGAAAAACCAGAUUCGCUCAAGGGCAAGAAAGGCAAAAGUAAGUAGGAUAUUGACAGGCGGAGGACCAAUGCAGGAAAUUCAAUCCUCCGAGUUGGAAGAGCGGGCGAUGGAACACUAGGGAGGACCGUGGUUGAUGGGCUGCCUGAUGUCCCAACUAUUGGAGUAGAGAACGACAUUAUAAUCAAUCUAGAUCCGCAGAGUCCGACAGUAAGUGAGAUGCCAUCAACGUCACGUUCUCGAAGGCAGACUUCUCAGGAAAUGUUUGCUGACAUGAUGGCUACAAUGAAGAAGAGGAGCGAAGAAGAGGCAAAAUUUAGAGAGACAUCGCAACAAUGCUUCCAAAAUGUUGCGGACUCUU